RNAcentral lists this ribosomal RNA (470 nucleotides) under uncultured Sphingobacteriales bacterium. Its description in RNAcentral is "bacterial SSU rRNA". It matches the Rfam family "Bacterial small subunit ribosomal RNA", at positions 910 to 1382 of the family's 1533-position model. The record is from RNAcentral. Lineage: Bacteria; Pseudomonadati; Bacteroidota; Sphingobacteriia; Sphingobacteriales.
UUGACGGGGCCCGCACAAGCGGAGGAGCAUGUGGUUUAAUUCGAUGAUACGCGAGGAACCUUACCUGGGCUCGAACGUAAGAUGACUGUAGGUGAAAGCUUACAUCUCUUCGGAGCAUUUUACGAGGUGCUGCAUGGUUGUCGUCAGCUCGUGCCGUGAGGUGUCGGGUUAAGUCCCAUAACGAGCGCAACCCCUACCUUUAGUUGCCAUCAGGUAAUGCUGGGGACUCUAAAGGAACUGCCUACGCAAGUAGUGGGGAAGCGGGGAUGACGUCAAAUCAGCACGGCCCUUACGUCCAGGGCUACACACGUGCUACAAUGGCCGAUACAGAGGGCAGCUACCUGGUGACAGGAUGCAAAUCUCCAAAGUCGGUCUCAGUUCGGAUCGGAGUCUGCAACCCGACUCCGUGAAGUUGGAUUCGCUAGUAAUCGCGCAUCAGCCAUGGCGCGGUGAAUACGUUCCCGGGCCUU